This 3662-nucleotide long non-coding RNA is filed under the name Taeniopygia guttata (zebra finch). Its description in RNAcentral is "lncRNA (ENSTGUG00000027148.1)". The record is from RNAcentral. Lineage: Eukaryota; Metazoa; Chordata; Aves; Passeriformes; Estrildidae.
AGAGACCCCCAGAACAGCCCCCAGCCCCUCAGAGACCCCCAGAACAGCCCCCAGCCCCCAGCCCGCCGUGCCUGGCCGGGGUUGGGGCCGCCCAGGGUGGGCUGCCGUGCCCCGAAGCUCUGCGCGUGUUUGCUGCUCUGCUCCUUCUUGGCCUCCACGGCCGCGUAGUACCUGCGGCAGGUGUGGGGCAGGUGUGGGGCAGGUGUGGGGCAGGUGUGGGGCAGGUGUGGGGCAGGUGAGGGGCAGGUGUGGGGCAGGUGAGGGGCAGGUAUGGGGCAGGUGUGGGGCAGGUGUGGGGGCAGGUGAGGACAGAGGUGGGGCAAGUUUGGGGCAAGUGAGGGACAGUUGAGGGGCAAGUUUGGGGCAGUUGAGGGGCAGGUGUGGGGCAGGUGUGAGGCAGUUGUGGGGCAGGUGUGGACAGAGGUGGGGCAAGUUUGGGGCAAGUUUGGGGCAGGUGAGGGGCAAGCUUGGGGCAGUUGAGGGGCAGGUGUGGGGGCAGGUGAGGGGCAGGUGAGAACAAGGGCGGGGCAAGUUUGGGGCAAGUUUGGGGCAGGUGAGGACAGGGGUGGGGCAAGUUUGGGCCAAGUUUGGGGCAGGUGAGGGGCAGGUGAGAGCAGAGGUGGGGCAGGUUAUGAGGCAGAUUUAUGGCAAUUUAGGGCAGGUUUGGGGCACGAACAGGACAAGGUUUUGGGGCAGUUUUGGGGCAAUAACAGGACUGGGUUUUGGGGCAGAUUUGGGGUGGUUUUGGGGCAGAUUCAGAUCAGGUUUUUGGGGCAGGUUUGGGGCAGUUUUGGGGCAUGUACAGGACUGGGUUUUGGGUCAGGUUUGGGGCAGGAUUUUGGGGCAGAUUCAGGUCAGGGUUUUGGGGCAGGUUUGGGCAGGUUUUGGGGCAGAUUCAGGCCGGUUUGGGGCAAUAACAGGACAGGGUUUUGGGGCAGGUUUGGGCAGGAUUUUGGGGCAGAUUCAGGUCAGGGUUUUGGGGCAGGUUUGGGCAGGUUUUGGGGCAGAUUCAGGCAGGUUUUGGGGCAGAUUCAGGUCAGGGUUUUGGGUCAGGUUUGGGGCAGAUUCAGGCCGGUUUGGGGCACUAACAAGACAGGGUUUUGGGGCAGAUUUGGGCAGGUUUUGGGGCAGAUUCAGGCCGGUUUGGGGCAGGAACAGGACAGGGUUUUGGGGCAGGAUUUUGGGGCAGAUUCAGGCCGGUUGGGGCUCACCCCUGCGUGCUGAAGGCCCCGCCCGGGCCCAGCAGCUGGAACAGCUGGUGCCGCGUGCGGGAGCUGUUCCCGGUGAACAGAAAAUGCUCCAGCGGCACCGGGCGCCGCGGCGUGCUGAUCACCCGCACACAGCGCCGCUUGGUGCGCCUGGAACGGGGCGAAAAACGGAGAAAUUGGGAAAAAACAGGAUUGGAGCAGGUACAGCGCCGCUUGGUGCGCGUGGAACGGGGCAAAAAACAGAGAAAUUGGGAAAAAAACAGGAUUGGAGCAGGUACAGCGCCGCUUGGUGCACCUGGAAUGGGGCAGAAAACGGAGAAAUUGGGAAAAAAAUAGAGAAAUUGGAUAAAAAACAGAGAAAUUGGAAAAAAAACAGAGAAAUUGGGAAAAAAAACAGAGAAAUUGGGAAAAAAACAGAGAAAUUGGGAAAAAAAACAGAGGAAUUGGGAAAAAAACAGCAUUGGAGCAGUCACAGCGCCGCUUGGUGCGCCUGGAAUGGGGCAGAAAACGGAGAAAUUGGGAAAAAACCAGAGAAAUUGGGAAAAAAACCAGAGAAAUUGGGAAAAAACAGAGAAAUUGGGAAAAAAACAGAGGAAUUGGGAAAAAAAACAGGAUUGGAGCAGUUACAGCGCCGCUUGGUGCGCCUGGAAUGGGGCAAAAAACAGAGACAUUGGGGAAAAAAACAGAGAAAUUGGGAAAAAAACAGAGAAAUUGGGAAAAAAACAGAGAAAUUGGGAAAAAACAGAGAAAUUGGGAAAAAAACAGAGAAAUUGGGAAAAAAACAGAGAAACUGGGAAAAAAACAGAGAAAUUGGGAAAAAAUCCAGAGAAAUUGGGAAAAAAACAGAGAAACUGGGAAAAAAACAGAGAAAUUGGGAAAAAAAACCAGAGAGAUUGGGAAAAAACAGGAUUGGAGCAGUUACAGCGCCGCUUGGUGCGCCUGGAAUGGGGCAGAAAACGGAGAAAUUGGGGAAAAAAACAGAGAAAUUGGGAAAAAAACAGAGAAAUUGGGAAAAAAACAGAGAAAUUGGGAAAAAAAACAGAGAAAUUGGAAAAAAACAGGAUUGGAGCAGUUACAGCGCCGCUUGGUGCGCCUGGAACGGGGCAGAAAACAGAGAAAUUGGGAAAAAAAAUAGAGAAAUUGGAAAAAAACCAGAGAAAUUGGGAAAAAAAUAGAGAAAUUGGGAAAAAACCAGGAUUGGAGCAGUCACAGCGCCGCUUGGUGCGCCUGGAACGGGGCAGAAAACAGAGAAAUUGGGAAAAAACAGAGAAAUUGGGAAAAAACCAGAGAAAUUGGGAAAAAACCAGAGAAAUUGGGAAAAAAAACCAGAGAAAUUGGGAAAAAAACAGAGAAAUUGGAGAAAAAAACAGAGAAAUUGGGAAAAAAAACCAGAGAAAUUGGGAAAAAAACAGGAUUGGAGCAGUCACAGCGCCGCUUGGUGCGCGUGGAACGGGGCAGAAAACGGAGAAAUUGGGAAAAAAAUAGAGAAAUUGGGAAAAAACCAGGAUUGGAGCAGUCACAGCGCAGCUUGGUGUGCGUGGAAUGGGGCAAAAAACGGAGAAAUUGGGAAAAAAUCAGAGAAAUUGGGAAAAAAAACAGGAUUGGAGCAGGUACAGCGCCGCUUGGUGCGCCUGGAAUGGGGCAAAAAACGGAGAAAUUGGGAAAAAAUCAGAAAAAUUGGGAAAAAACAGAGAAAUUGGGAAAAAAACAUAGAAAUAGGGAAAAAAAAACAGAGAAAUUGGGAAAAAAACAGAGAAAUUGGGAAAAAAAACAGAGAAAUUGGGGAAAAAACAGAGAAAUUGGGAAAAAAACAGGAUUGGAGCAGGUACAGCGCCGCUUGGUGCGCCUGGAAUGGGGCAGAAAACGGAGAAAUUGGGAAAAAAACAGAGAAAUUGGGAAAAAAACAGCAUUGGAGCAGGUACAGCGCCGCUUGGUGUGUGUGGAAUGGGGCAAAAAACGGAGAAAUUGGGAAAAAAACAGGAUUGGAGCAGUCACAGCGCCGCUUGGUGCGCGUGGAACGGGGCAAAAAACGGAGAAAUUGGGAAAAAACAGAGAAAUUGGGAAAAAACAGGAUUGGAGCAGUUACAGCGCCACUUGGUGUGCGUGGAAUGGGGCACAAAACAGAGAAAUUGGGAAAAAAACAGAGAAAUUGGGAAAAAACAGGAUUGGAGCAGUUACAGCGCCGCUUGGUGCGCCUGCAACGGGGCAAAAAACGGAGAAAUUGGGAAAAAAACAGAGAAAUUGGGAAAAAAACAGGAUUGGAGCAGUCACAGCGCCGCUUGGUGUGCGUGGAACGGGGCAGAAAACGGAGAAAUUGGGAAAAAACAGAGAAAUUGGGGAAAAAACAGAGAAAUUGGGAAAAAACAGAGAAAUUGGGGAAAAAAAACAGAGAAAUUGGGAAAAAACAGGAUUGGAGUAGUUACAGGGAUCCCCUGUCCCCCAUGUCCCUGUCAC